AGUCCGAAGUGCUUUGGGAUGGUGGACAUCUUGACAAACUGGACCUGUAAAAUACGCACACACACACACACCCGAAAAAAAACGGCCCUUGUGUGGUGCCCACAGUCCUAAGUGAAUAUGGGGAUCCUGAAGGCACUGAGAUCCUUACUGAACCCUAGGAGGAACUGCUGUGGAAGACCCCUGAGAGACUUACCUGUGGAUGCUGGAAGGAGGGAGAGAGCAAGGGAGCCAGAAAACAGAGUACAUGUGGCUCCCCAAGAGCCAAGAGCAGGAGUUAAAGGCACAGAACUAAACCUAUGAAAAUAACUGACAGAAAAGAAUGGAUGGGGGCACCCAGGAGGCAGUGACGAGACAGUGGGGAGAGAGCCUCUGAACACCACUGGAUUCUGCAGGUUUGACUAUUCAGCUAGAGAACAUAUGUACUAAGGAACCACUUAGAAUGUGACAAUUUGCUCAGAGGGUGACCAGCUGCAAGUAGCUGAGAAUCAUUAAGUGGCAGGAGGCACAGAGGAGAGCUGCUGUGACACCUGAUUUGGAAGUGCAGCCUUUUUCCUGUCUCUCGUCCUGCACCUUCAACGCAGUCUGCAUCAGAGGGACCAAUAUCUAGCCUUUGCCCCUUUCCUGCCAGGCCAGGUGAGGUAUCAGGAAGAAAAUCUGGCCAGAACUCGUUAGACUUUCUCUCUCUCGAUGCAACAAGGCUCACAGAGUGCUUCCUGUGGUGAACUCUGUACUUUGACUCAAGCAAAUCCUGGUUUAUAGGAUUAUUUUCAUGUCUCCUAUUGGGACAGAAAAGCCAAACUGUGCUCCAAUCCAUGGCGGGGGUGAGGGGGUUGUGGUAAUGGCUUUUGUUUUUGUUUUUUUUUCCCCCUUUGAGAAAAGCUCUUGCAAUACAGCCCUGAGACGCCUGGACCCUGCUGUGUAUACAGGCUGGCCUUCGGGUGAUCUUCCUGCCUUGGCUUGCCAAGCGCUGGGGUUACAGGUGUGUGAUCCCACAUUCAAGACUCUGCUCCAGACUCUAAGUGAAGCAGAACCACACCAAGCACUCCCUAGAUGACCUGGGCCCAUGCUGUGCGGAAACCCUGAAGCCCAAGGAGAGGAUCCCUGCCUGUCGCCCCCCCCCCAAUUUAUUUCCUAAAUUCAUGUCACUGCCAACUUCUAAUGGACUUCUCCUAAAGUUCCAUCAGAAAUGCCUAAGCCCAUGGACAGCUUAUCUCAGUUGGCAAAAAUUCCA
Long non-coding RNA from Mus musculus (house mouse), 1231 nucleotides. RefSeq annotates it as predicted gene, 30518. NCBI's taxonomy places the organism in Eukaryota, Metazoa, Chordata, Mammalia, Rodentia, Muridae. The record is from RefSeq and is a predicted model, not a curated record. The transcript has 4 exons.